GCCAGCAGCCAUACUCCCUACAAGCUAAGCAGGUUGGGCCUGGCUGAUACUUCGAUGGGAGACCAACUAGGAAAGCUGGUUUGCUGCUGGAA
This 92-nucleotide ribosomal RNA is filed under the name Paramormyrops kingsleyae. Lineage: Eukaryota; Metazoa; Chordata; Actinopteri; Osteoglossiformes; Mormyridae. The record is from RNAcentral.